Molecule: ribosomal RNA, 616 nt
Filed under: Oscillatoriales cyanobacterium RCC1778
Lineage: Bacteria; Bacillati; Cyanobacteriota; Cyanophyceae; Oscillatoriales
Description: bacterial SSU rRNA
Rfam family: Bacterial small subunit ribosomal RNA
Source: RNAcentral
CCUCUUUUCUCAAGGAAGAAGAACUGACGGUACUUGAGGAAUCAGCAUCGGCUAACUCCGUGCCAGCAGCCGCGGUAAGACGGAGGAUGCAAGCGUUAUCCGGAAUUAUUGGGCGUAAAGCGUCCGUAGGCGGUUGUACAAGUCUGAUGUUAAAGCCCACAGCUCAACUGUGGAUGGGCAUUGGAAACUGUGCGACUAGAGAGUGGUAGGGGUAGAGGGAAUUCCUAGUGUAGCGGUGAAAUGCGUAGAUAUUAGGAAGAACACCAGUGGCGAAGGCGCUCUACUGGGCCAUUACUGACGCUGAUGGACGAAAGCUAGGGGAGCGAAAGGGAUUAGAUACCCCUGUAGUCCUAGCUGUAAACGAUGAACACUAGGUGUUGCGCGUAUCGACCCGUGCAGUAUCGAAGCAAACGCGUUAAGUGUUCCGCCUGGGGAGUACGCACGCAAGUGUGAAACUCAAAGGAAUUGACGGGGGCCCGCACAAGCGGUGGAGUAUGUGGUUUAAUUCGAUGCAACGCGAAGAACCUUACCAGGGAUUGACAUCCUACGAAUUUCUAUGAAAGUAGAGAGUGCCUUCGGGAACGUAGAGACAGGUGGUGCAUGGCUGUCGUCAGCU